RNAcentral lists this non-coding RNA (24 nucleotides) under Arabidopsis thaliana (thale cress). Lineage: Eukaryota; Viridiplantae; Streptophyta; Magnoliopsida; Brassicales; Brassicaceae. The record is from RNAcentral.
GACAAAACGAGUUGCAAUAAACAA